GAGGGUGUAGCUUAGUGGUAGAGUGCCUGCUUAGCAUGCACAAGGUCCUGGGCUCAAUCCCCAGUACCUCCA
Molecule: transfer RNA, 72 nt
Filed under: Camelus bactrianus (Bactrian camel)
Lineage: Eukaryota; Metazoa; Chordata; Mammalia; Artiodactyla; Camelidae
Also listed under: 2 other names
Rfam family: tRNA
About the family: Transfer RNA (tRNA) molecules are approximately 80 nucleotides in length.
Source: Rfam by way of RNAcentral